ACACUUAGCUAGGCGACGCCCGCAGGGGUAGCGCUUUCUUUUUAGAGGAAAGGGAAGAGGUGCCGACGUGGAAGUAGGAGAGGGAGGGGACGGCGGAGCUAGGGGGACAGGGCGUGAGGGAGAGCGGCCGGCCUCCGCCGAGACCGCCCGCCCCGCUUCGGUGGCCUUAGUACCGGUUCAGACCACGGACAUUCUUCCGCCGUGGUCGGGCCAGUCGCGCAGGGCCGUCCGAGCACUGCGGUCGGCGAGCGGUGUCGGCGAGAAGAUGCGGCCGCGAGGCUGAUCGAGCAGGUGGUCAGGCAGCUGUGGCGGCGUGGACAUGGGGAGAGAGUAUCUAAGGAGAUGACGUUUGGGAUGUACCUCCGGUUACAUGUGGGGACGUAGACUUCCGAACGAUUCAAAACCUGUUAAGAGAGGUUACGUAGGAAUAUUAAAACCUGGAGUAUAUCUAGUGUUUCAAUUUCAUGAUGAUAUCUAGGGUGUUUUGUUAUUUACCGUUGGAAGUACAAUGGUGGAGAUUCAAUGAUGUAUGAUACCUCUAUCAUUGUAUCUCAUCAUUGUAUACGUACAAUGAUGAGAUACAAUAAUGGGUAAUACCGAUCAGAAUCGCGACGGAUCGGUUUGACCGCGGG
Molecule: ribosomal RNA, 632 nt
Filed under: Triticum aestivum (bread wheat)
Lineage: Eukaryota; Viridiplantae; Streptophyta; Magnoliopsida; Poales; Poaceae
Description: partial small subunit ribosomal RNA
Source: RNAcentral